CACUGAAAUUUAAAGAGCCGCGGUAUUUUGACUGUGCAAAGGUAGCAUAAUAAUUAGUGUAUUAAUUGUGCACUGGAAUGAAAGGGUUGACGAGAAAGGCUCUGUCUCUAUUUGAUUCAUAUAAUUUUACUUUCUAGUGAAAAGGCUGGAAUUUUUUUUUAGGACGAUAAGACCCUAUAGAGUUUAAUAUUUAUUUAUUUUAUAUAAUUUGUUUAAUUUCUUUUAUAUUUUAUUUAUGAUGUUUUGUUGGGGUGAUGUGAAUAAUUAAUAAACUAUUCAUUAUUUUUUUUCAUUGAUUUAUGAUAUUUUUGAUCCUUUAUUAUGGAUAUAAAGAUAAAAUUACCUUAGGGAUAACAGCGCAAUUAUUUUUGAGAGUUCUUAUUGAUAAAAUAGAUUGUGACCUCGAUGUUGGAUUAAAAUUAUUAUUUGGGUGUAGGUGCUCAUAUUAUUGGUCUGUUCGACCAUU
RNAcentral lists this ribosomal RNA (466 nucleotides) under Teredorus guangxiensis. RNAcentral describes it as "partial 16S ribosomal RNA". It matches the Rfam family "Bacterial large subunit ribosomal RNA", at positions 1910 to 2589 of the family's 2925-position model. Lineage: Eukaryota; Metazoa; Arthropoda; Insecta; Orthoptera; Tetrigidae. The record is from RNAcentral.